CAGCAGUAGGGAAUUUUCGUCAAUGGGCGCAAGCCUGAACGAGCAAUGCCGCGUGAGUGAGGAAGGUCUUCGGACUGUAAAGCUCUGUUGCCGGGGAAAAAGGGGAAAUGCAGGAAAUGGCAUUUCAUGGAUGGUACCCGGCCAGAAAGCCACGGCUAACUACGUGCCAGCAGCCGCGGUAAUACGUAGGUGGCGAGCGUUAUCCGGAAUGAUUGGGCGUAAAGGGUGCGCAGGCGGUCUGUUAAGUCUGAAGGCAAAGGGAUGAGCUCAACUCAUUUAUGAUUCAGAAACUGGCAGACUUGAGGACAGGAGAGGGCGGUGGAACUCCAUGUGUAGCGGUAAAAUGCGCAGAGAUAUGGAAGAACACCAGUGGCGAAGGCGACCGCCUGGCCUGUGACUGACGCUGAGGCACGAAAGCGUGGGGAGCAAAUAGGAUUAGA
RNAcentral lists this ribosomal RNA (440 nucleotides) under uncultured Allobaculum sp. RNAcentral describes it as "bacterial SSU rRNA". It matches the Rfam family "Bacterial small subunit ribosomal RNA", at positions 349 to 782 of the family's 1533-position model. The record is from RNAcentral. Lineage: Bacteria; Bacillati; Bacillota; Erysipelotrichia; Erysipelotrichales; Erysipelotrichaceae.